AUACCGCAUAAUGUCUACGGACCAAAGGGGGCUUCGGCUCUCGCCUUUAGAUUGGCCCAAGUGGGAUUAGCUAGUUGGUGAGGUAAUGGCUCACCAAGGCGACGAUCCCUAGCUGGUUUGAGAGGAUGAUCAGCCACACUGGAACUGAGACACGGUCCAGACUCCUACGGGAGGCAGCAGUGGGGAAUAUUGCACAAUGGGCGCAAGCCUGAUGCAGCCAUGCCGCGUGUGUGAAGAAGGCCUUCGGGUUGUAAAGCACUUUCAGUUGUGAGGAAAGGUUAGUAGUUAAUACCUGCUAGCUGUGACGUUAGCAACAGAAGAAGCACCGGCUAACUCCGUGCCAGCAGCCGCGGUAAUACGGAGGGUGCGAGCGUUAAUCGGAAUUACUGGGCGUAAAGCGUACGCAGGCGGUUUGUUAAGCGAGAUGUGAAAGCCCCGGGCUCAACCUGGGAACUGCAUUUCGAACUGGCAAACUAGAGUGUGAUAGAGGGUGGUAGAAUUUCAGGUGUAGCGGUGAAAUGCGUAGAGAUCUGAAGGAAUACCGAUGGCGAAGGCAGCCACCUGGGUCAACACUGACGCUCAUGUACGAAAGCGUGGGGAGCAAACGGGAUUAGAUACCCCGGUAGUCCACGCCGUAAACGAUGUCUACUAGGAGUUCGGUUUUUCGGAACUGUCUUCCAAAGCUAACGCAUUAAGUAGA
Molecule: ribosomal RNA, 700 nt
Filed under: Pseudoalteromonas sp. PKJ
Lineage: Bacteria; Pseudomonadati; Pseudomonadota; Gammaproteobacteria; Alteromonadales; Pseudoalteromonadaceae
Description: bacterial SSU rRNA
Rfam family: Bacterial small subunit ribosomal RNA
Source: RNAcentral